Capsicum annuum is the source of this 107-nucleotide non-coding RNA. The record is from Rfam. NCBI's taxonomy places the organism in Eukaryota, Viridiplantae, Streptophyta, Magnoliopsida, Solanales, Solanaceae.
UGAUAAUGAUGAGGGAAAUUCCUAAGCAUAACCUUGAACCUUUCCUAAGCUUGGUAAAGAUUCUCUCCAUCUUUUUACCUGAGACUCAGAAUCUCACUUCUCAAAUG